CGAGCGACAGAUAAGGAGCUUGCUCCUUUGACGUUAGCGGCGGACGGGUGAGUAACACGUGGGUAACCUACCUAUAAGACUGGGAUAACUUCGGGAAACCGGAGCUAAUACCGGAUAACAUUUGGAACCGCAUGGUUCUAAAGUGAAAGAUGGUUUUGCUAUCACUUAUAGAUGGACCCGCGCCGUAUUAGCUAGUUGGUAAGGUAACGGCUUACCAAGGCAACGAUACGUAGCCGACCUGAGAGGGUGAUCGGCCACACUGGAACUGAGACACGGUCCAGACUCCUACGGGAGGCAGCAGUAGGGAAUCUUCCGCAAUGGGCGAAAGCCUGACGGAGCAACGCCGCGUGAGUGAUGAAGGGUUUCGGCUCGUAAAACUCUGUUAUUAGGGAAGAACAAAUGUGUAAGUAACUGUGCACAUCUUGACGGUACCUAAUCAGAAAGCCACGGCUAACUACGUGCCAGCAGCCGCGGUAAUACGUAGGUGGCAAGCGUUAUCCGGAAUUAUUGGGCGUAAAGCGCGCGUAGGCGGUUUCUUAAGUCUGAUGUGAAAGCCCACGGCUCAACCGUGGAGGGUCAUUGGAAACUGGGAAACUUGAGUGCAGAAGAGGAAAGUGGAAUUCCAUGUGUAGCGGUGAAAUGCGCAGAGAUAUGGAGGAACACCAGUGGCGAAGGCGACUUUCUGGUCUGUAACUGACGCUGAUGUGCGAAAGCGUGGGGAUCAAACAGGAUUAGAUACCCUGGUAGUCCACGCCGUAAACGAUGAGUGCUAAGUGUUAGGGGGUUUCCGCCCCUUAGUGCUGCAGCUAACGCAUUAAGCACUCCGCCUGGGGAGUACGACCGCAAGGUUGAAACUCAAAGGAAUUGACGGGGACCCGCACAAGCGGUGGAGCAUGUGGUUUAAUUCGAAGCAACGCGAAGAACCUUACCAAAUCUUGACAUCCUUUGAAAACUCUAGAGAUAGAGCCUUCCCCUUCGGGGGACAAAGUGACAGGUGGUGCAUGGUUGUCGUCAGCUCGUGUCGUGAGAUGUUGGGUUAAGUCCCGCAACGAGCGCAACCCUUAAGCUUAGUUGCCAUCAUUAAGUUGGGCACUCUAGGUUGACUGCCGGUGACAAACCGGAGGAAGGUGGGGAUGACGUCAAAUCAUCAUGCCCCUUAUGAUUUGGGCUACACACGUGCUACAAUGGACAAUACAAAGGGCAGCUAAACCGCGAGGUCAUGCAAAUCCCAUAAAGUUGUUCUCAGUUCGGAUUGUAGUCUGCAACUCGACUACAUGAAGCUGGAAUCGCUAGUAAUCGUAGAUCAGCAUGCUACGGUGAAUACGUUCCCGGGUCUUGUACACACCGCCCGUCACACCACGAGAGUUUGUAACACCCGAAGCCGGUGGAGUAACCAUUUA
Molecule: ribosomal RNA, 1400 nt
Filed under: Staphylococcus sp.
Lineage: Bacteria; Bacillati; Bacillota; Bacilli; Caryophanales; Staphylococcaceae
Description: bacterial SSU rRNA
Rfam family: Bacterial small subunit ribosomal RNA
Source: RNAcentral